Molecule: ribosomal RNA, 631 nt
Filed under: Ochrobactrum sp.
Lineage: Bacteria; Pseudomonadati; Pseudomonadota; Alphaproteobacteria; Hyphomicrobiales; Brucellaceae
Description: bacterial SSU rRNA
Rfam family: Bacterial small subunit ribosomal RNA
Source: RNAcentral
AGAACGAACGCUGGCGGCAGGCUUAACACAUGCAAGUCGAGCGCCCCGCAAGGGGAGCGGCAGACGGGUGAGUAACGCGUGGGAAUCUACCUUUUGCUACGGAACAACAGUUGGAAACGACUGCUAAUACCGUAUGUGCCCCCCUUUAAAAUUUCAGGAUACAUAAAAUGCCCUGGCAUUUUAUGGGGGGGAAAGAUUUAUCGGCAAAGGAUGAGCCCGCGUUGGAUUAGCUAGUUGGUGAGGUAAAGGCUCACCAAGGCGACGAUCCAUAGCUGGUCUGAGAGGAUGAUCAGCCACACUGGGACUGAGACACGGCCCAGACUCCUACGGGAGGCAGCAGUGGGGAAUAUUGGACAAUGGGCGCAAGCCUGAUCCAGCCAUGCCGCGUGAGUGAUGAAGGCCCUAGGGUUGUAAAGCUCUUUCACCGGUGAAGAUAAUGACGGUAACCGGAGAAGAAGCCCCGGCUAACUUCGUGCCAGCAGCCGCGGUAAUACGAAGGGGGCUAGCGUUGUUCGGAUUUACUGGGCGUAAAGCGCACGUAGGCGGAUUUUUAAGUCAGGGGUGAAAUCCCGGGGCUCAACCCCGGAACUGCCUUUGAUACUGGAAGUCUUGAGUAUGGUAGAGGUGAGUG